This 429-nucleotide ribosomal RNA is filed under the name Bacteroidota bacterium. Its description in RNAcentral is "Bacteroidetes bacterium partial 16S ribosomal RNA". It matches the Rfam family "Bacterial small subunit ribosomal RNA", at positions 355 to 776 of the family's 1533-position model. The record is from RNAcentral. Lineage: Bacteria; Pseudomonadati; Bacteroidota.
UAGGGAAUCUUCCGCAAUGGACGCAAGUCUGACGGAGCAACGCCGCGUGAGUGAAGAAGGAUUUCGGUUCGUAAAACUCUGUUGUUAGAUAAGAACAGCGCAUAGAGUAACUGUUAUGCGUGUGACGGUAUCUAACCAGAAAGCCACGGCUAACUACGUGCCAGCAGCCGCGGUAAUACGUAGGUGGCAAGCGUUGUCCGGAUUUAUUGGGCGUAAAGCGAGCGCAGGCGGUCAAUUAAGUCUGAUGUGAAAGCCCCCGGCUCAACCGGGGAGGGUCAUUGGAAACUGGUUGACUUGAGUGCAGAAGAGGAGAGUGGAAUUCCAUGUGUAGCGGUGAAAUGCGUAGAUAUAUGGAGGAACACCAGUGGCGAAGGCGACUCUCUGGUCUGUAACUGACGCUGAGGCUCGAAAGCGUGGGUAGCAAACAGG